AAACCCAGAUCUCUCAGGUAGCCUUAAACCAAGCCCCCCGGACCGCACCUGGAGGACAGUUCCCUGGACAAACUCAACAGAAUCCGAGAGGACAAGCCAAUGCCAUUAACCUACGAAGUAGGACCGCUUAUGAUGAUCCAUUUAACUCAAGAUUGAGUGAACCCAAAACUUCUAAGGAAUAUACCGAACCCAUGGACGAAGUAAAGGAACCAGAGGAAUCUGAAAAACAGGAAGGUCAAGAAAAAGGAGAAGAACCUAAAGACAAAAC
RNAcentral lists this long non-coding RNA (268 nucleotides) under Lathyrus oleraceus (garden pea). RNAcentral describes it as "Pisum sativum (pea) long non-coding RNA (PSAT_LNC011963)". Lineage: Eukaryota; Viridiplantae; Streptophyta; Magnoliopsida; Fabales; Fabaceae. The record is from RNAcentral.